RNAcentral lists this ribosomal RNA (253 nucleotides) under uncultured bacterium. RNAcentral describes it as "partial 16S ribosomal RNA". It matches the Rfam family "Bacterial small subunit ribosomal RNA", at positions 524 to 776 of the family's 1533-position model. The record is from RNAcentral.
UACGAAGGGGGCUAGCGUUGCUCGGAAUGACUGGGCGUAAAGCGCGCGUAGGCGGUUUUUUAAGUCAGAGGUGAAAGCCCAGUGCUCAACACUGGAACUGCCUUUGAAACUGGAAAACUUGAAUCUUGGAGAGGUCAGUGGAAUUCCGAGUGUAGAGGUGAAAUUCGUAGAUAUUCGGAAGAACACCAGUGGCGAAGGCGACUGACUGGACAAGUAUUGACGCUGAGGUGCGAAAGCGUGGGGAGCAAACAGG